This 417-nucleotide ribosomal RNA is filed under the name uncultured prokaryote. RNAcentral's name for it is "bacterial SSU rRNA". It matches the Rfam family "Bacterial small subunit ribosomal RNA", at positions 959 to 1380 of the family's 1533-position model. The record is from RNAcentral.
ACGCGAAGAACCUUACCUGGGCUUGAACUGCACUUGACAAAGGUAGAAAUAUCUUUCCCGCAAGGGCAAGUGUAGAGGUGCUGCAUGGCUGUCGUCAGCUCGUGCCGUGAGGUGUUGGGUUAAGUCCCGCAACGAGCGCAACCCUUACCCUUAGUUGCCACCCGCAAGGGGGAACUCUAAGGGGACUGCUCCGGAUAACGGAGAGGAAGGUGAGGAUGAGGUCAAGUCAGCAUGGCCUUUAUGUCCAGGGCUACACACGUGUUACAAUGCAUGGUACAGACCGUUGCAAACCCGCGAGGGGGAGCUAACCGGAAAAAACCAUGCUCAGUUCGGAUUGCAGUCUGCAACUCGACUGCAUGAAGCUGGAAUCGCUAGUAAUGGCGUAUCAGAACGACGCCGUGAAUACGUUCCCGGGUC